Molecule: long non-coding RNA, 2168 nt
Filed under: Gallus gallus (chicken)
Lineage: Eukaryota; Metazoa; Chordata; Aves; Galliformes; Phasianidae
Description: lncRNA (ENSGALG00010001597.1)
Source: RNAcentral
UGCUGGUUAUGUAUUCAUUUAUUUACAGGUAUACCAAAGCAUUUAGCACGGGGUUGGAGGGUUUGUCGAAGUUUUCCUUGCUUUUCUUUGUCGUCUCCCCUUCUUCCCCCCACCAUCCUCUGCCAAGAAAAGAAAGAGAGAAGGGGAUGCGCGCCCACGGUCCCAGGCAGUCCGCUAAAAGGCGGCGGAGUUGUUGUUUCCACGGUAUCUGCUGCCACCUAAAGGCCAAACAGAAAAACUGCGUCGGAAAGGUUGCGGCGGUCUCUGGUGCCAUCUAGUGGCCAAAAGGUGGAAAUGCAGACCCGUCAGUUUGGCGCAGGAGAAAGUACGCAUGCGUACUGCCGUCUCGCGGCUCGCGCAUGCGUACUGCCGUCUCGCGGCUCGCGCAUGCGUACUGCCGUUUCGAGGCUCGCGCAUGCGUACUACCGUCUCGCGGCUCGCGCAUGCGUACUAUCGUCCAUAAUGUCGCACAUGCGUACUAACGUCCAUAAUGGCGCGCAUGCGUACUGCCGACUCGCAUCUCGCGCAUGCGUACUACCGUCUCGAAGUUCGCACAUGCGUACUACCGCCCAUGAUGUCGCGCAUGCGUACUGCCGUUUCGGAACUCGCGCAUGCGUAUUGCCGUCUCGAGGCUCGCGCAUGCGUAAUGCGGUCCAUAAUAUCGCGCAUGCGUACUGCCGUCUCGAAACUCGCGCAUGAGUACUACCGUCUCGCGUCUCGCGCAUGCGUACUGCUGUCUAUGAUGUCGCACAAACGUACUACCGUUUCGGGUCUCGCGCAUGCGUACUGCCGUCCAUAAUCUCGCGCAUGCGUACUGCCCUCUCGAACCUCGCGCAUGCGCACUACCGUCUCGCGUCUCGCGCGUGCGUACUGCCGUUUCGAAACUCGCGCGAGCGUAGUGCCAUCUCGGAGCUCGCGCAUGCGUACUACCGCCCAUGAUGUCGCGCAUGCGUACUGCCGUUUCAUGGCUCGCGCAUGCGUACUGCUGUCCGUAAUGUCGCGCAUGCGUACUGCCGUCUCCCGACUCGCGCAUGCGUACUGCCGUCUAUAAUGUCGCGCAUGCGUGCUGCCGUCUCGAAACUCGCGCAUGCGUACUGCCGUCUCGCGGCUCGCGCAUGCGUAUUGCCGUCUCGGGGCUCGCUCAUGCGUAGUGCUGUCAGUAAUGUCGCGCAUGCGUACUACGGUCUGGGAGCUCGCGCAUGCGUACUGUUGUCCGUGAUGUCGCGCAUGCGUACUGCCGUCUGGAAGCAAGCGCAUGCGUACUGCCGUCCAUAAUGUCGCGCAUGCGUACUGCCGUCUCGAAACUCGCGCAUGCGUACUGCUGUCUAUGUUUUGGCGCAUGCGUACUACCGUCUCCACGCUCGCGCAUACGUACUGCCGUCUAUAAUGUCGCACAUGCGUGCUGCCGUCUCGAAACUCGCGCAUGCGUACUGCCGUCUCGCGGCUCGCGCAUGCGUAUUGCCGUCUCGGGGCUCGCUCAUGCGUAGUGCUGUCAGUAAUGUCGCGCAUGCGUACUACCGUCUGGAAGCUCGCGCAUGCGUACUGCCGUCUAUAAUGUCGCGCAUGCGUACAGUUGUGUAUAAUGUCGCGCAUGCGUACUGCCGUCCGUAAUCUCGCGCAUGCGUACUUCCGUCUCGAAGCUCGCGCAUACGUACUGCUGUCCGUAAUGCCGCACAUGCGUAAUUCCCUCUGGAAACUCGCGCAAGCGUACUGCUGACCGUUAUGUCGCGCAUGCGUACUGCCGGCUCGACGCUCGCGCAUGCGUACUGCCGUCCAUAAUGUCGCGCAUGCGUACUGCCGUCCACAAUGUCGCGCAAGCGUAUUGCUGUCUCGGGACUCGCACAUGCGUACUGCUAUCCGUAAUGUAGCGCAUGCCGUCUGGAAGCUCGCGCAUGCGUACUGCCGUCCAUAAUGUCGCGCAUGCGCACUACCGUCUCGAAACUCGCGCAUGCGUACUGCCCUCUCGGGGGCUCGCGCAUGCGUAUUGCCGUCUCGAAACUCGCGCAUGCGUACAGUUGUACAUAAUGUCGCGCAUGCGUACUGCUGUCUCGAACGUGGCGCAUGCGUUCUACUGUCUCGAAGCUCGCGCAUGCGUACUGCUGUCCGUAAUACCGCGCAUGCGUACUGCCGUCUCGCGGCUCGCGCGUGCGUACUGCCGUCUAUAAUGU